This is a long non-coding RNA of Sciurus carolinensis (gray squirrel), 866 nucleotides long. RefSeq lists it as uncharacterized. The record is from RefSeq and is a predicted model, not a curated record. The transcript has 4 exons. Lineage: Eukaryota; Metazoa; Chordata; Mammalia; Rodentia; Sciuridae.
GUUCUGGCCCGCAGCUGCCCCUGCCCAGACGGCAGAAAUAGGGAACAUGGAAGGCACCAUCCUGCUGGCUAGAGGAGCAGCCCUGGGCUUGAGAAGACCAGCACAAAAUGAGGGUUGAUCCUUGAAUAGUCUAAACCCUCAGGAAUGAAAUACUGAAACAUAGACAAGCUGAAAUCUGACCUGGGAAAGAAUGGGAGAGUUGCAAUAUUCCUGGCACAUAGUGUCCAAAGCCCAGAGCAAACAGAGCUCUCACGGACCGGUGGAGCUCAGGCACUGCACCAAGGCCCUGAGGAGUGGGCUGAGCCCUGACCCAGUGUGCCGCUGGAGGACCCUCGCCAUUAUUGAAUGGUUGCCUUCUCCUCGCUUCUUCCCAAUUCGAGCCGAAUUGUGAUGGCAGCAACAUCCCUGGAAGUGGAGAUUUCUGUUCUAAACUCCUCAGGCUGACGAAGGUGGAUGAGCCUGGUUGACUUGUAAGGAAGAGCAGCAAGGAAAGGGAAGGACCCACAGUCCAUCACAUGAGUGUGUCGCCAGGCUGCACCUGCAAUGCUAAGGUCAUGUAUAUGGAGCUGGUGAGGAUUCCUGAUGGCGGGCAGUGACAGUGGUGGAAUAUGAGGGCAAAACUGACUCCUUCCCAGUGACAGAUUUUCCUUAGCAGAGCUGUGGAGUGUGACAAUGGUGUUUGUGUCCAAACUAUCAAACGCCAUUAUCACACUAAAUAGCUACUGUUAGGCAAUCCUUCCGCUCAAUAAGUGUCUUGGCAUCUGUUCAGUCUGGGCAAGAAGGUUUGUCAUUUACCAGUGCUCUAUACCAGUGCUCUCAACUUCUGAAUAAAGUCUGGCACUCUGUUGCUUAUAUGUCUGUCUCAA